This 407-nucleotide ribosomal RNA is filed under the name uncultured cyanobacterium. RNAcentral describes it as "bacterial SSU rRNA". It matches the Rfam family "Bacterial small subunit ribosomal RNA", at positions 362 to 784 of the family's 1533-position model. Lineage: Bacteria; Bacillati; Cyanobacteriota. The record is from RNAcentral.
UUUUCCGCAAUGGGCGAGAGCCUGACGGAGCAACGCCGCGUGAGGGAGGAAGGCCUGUGGGUCGUAAACCUCUUUUCUCAGGGAAGAAGUACUGACGGUACCUGAGGAAUCAGCAUCGGCUAACUCCGUGCCAGCAGCCGCGGUAAGACGGAGGAUGCAAGCGUUAUCCGGAAUUAUUGGGCGUAAAGCGUCCGUAGGUGGUAUAGAAAGUCUGUUGUUAAAUCCCACAGCUCAACUGUGGAUCGGCAAUGGAAACUACUAAACUUGAGUGUGGUAGGGGUAGAGGGAAUUCCUAGUGUAGCGGUGAAAUGCGUAGAUAUUAGGAAGAACACCAGUGGCGAAGGCGCUCUACUGGGCCAUAACUGACACUGAUGGACGAAAGCUAGGGGAGCGAAAGGGAUUAGAUU